RNAcentral lists this long non-coding RNA (355 nucleotides) under Gossypium raimondii (Peruvian cotton). Its description in RNAcentral is "long non-coding RNA (GRAI_LNC005493)". The record is from RNAcentral. Lineage: Eukaryota; Viridiplantae; Streptophyta; Magnoliopsida; Malvales; Malvaceae.
GAGUCUAGUUGUAGGAGUUUGGAAUUAAUUUUUGUUUUUGAGUCAGGAAAUGAGUUAAAUUUUAAUUUCCUUCAGCCAUUUUGGGAGGGUGCAACUAAAUGUCGUAGUGGAUUUAAUCGGGGGAAAUAUUAUCUUUUAUUUUAUUUUAUUUUCUUUGAUUUUAUUUUCUUUUGAAAAAAUCUUAUCCCAUAUUUUUUCUCCCUGGUGGUUUCUUGCUCCCUUUCCUUUCAUGUUUCUAGUAGUUGAAUUCUUUUCAAUUUUUUUCUUUAUUGGACUAAAAUUUGUUUCCUCUCUACUAUUCUUUAUUUUUGAUAAUUUUUCUUUUCUUUGCUUAGUUUUGCUCCUUGUUGAUCAC